ACAGCAGAUGCAUCCGGAGAUCCUUGUGUUUUUAUUCAUUCAUUAGGAACACUGCUUGGUUAUCUUGAGUUGCCAGUUUAACAGUUUUUUGAGUGUUUAUUCCUCCCAAAUCAUUCCAGUCUUUUUGAAAAGUUGUAUAUUUCCCUUUUCAGCUCUCAUUUCACUCUUCAGUGUUCCUGUUAUUUAUGAACGGCAUCAGGUAAUUUCCUAACUGCUGACUUCAGAAUAGAUUUACGAAUGUAUUAGUGCCCAUUUUCAAUGUCUUAUAAAAAUGAGAAAUGUGAUGGUUUCUUAAGCUUUUAGCUUGACACAUAGUAGUGGUUAAUAAGAUUCUUUAGCAGCAGUAAUAAUUCCUUUAUACCUCUCUUUCAGGCACAGAUAGAUCAUUAUCUAGGACUUGCAAAUAAGAAUGUUAAAGAUGCUAUGGCUAAAAUCCAAGCGAAAAUCCCUGGAUUGAAGCGCAAAGCUGAAUGAAAACGCCCAAAAUAAUUAGUAGGAGUUCAUCUUUAAAGGGGAUAUUCAUUUGAUUAUACGGGGAGGGUCAGGGAAGAACGAACCUUGACAUUGCAGUGCAGUUUCACAGAUCGUUGUUAGAUCUUUAUUUUUUAGCCAUGCACUGUUGUGAGGAAAAAUUACCUGUCUUGACUGCCGUGUGUUCAUCAUCUUAAGUAUUGUAAGCUGCUAUGUAUGGAUUUAAACUGUAAUCAUAUCUUUUUCCUAUCUGAGGCACUGGUGGAAUAAAAAACCUGUAUAUUUUACUUUGUUGCAGGUAGUCUUGCUGCAUCUUGGCAAGUUGCAGAGAUGGUGGAGCUAGAAAAAAAAAAAAAA
Molecule: small RNA, 828 nt
Filed under: Pongo abelii (Sumatran orangutan)
Lineage: Eukaryota; Metazoa; Chordata; Mammalia; Primates; Hominidae
Description: retained intron
Source: RNAcentral